Molecule: long non-coding RNA, 1482 nt
Organism: Strigops habroptila (Kakapo)
Lineage: Eukaryota; Metazoa; Chordata; Aves; Psittaciformes; Psittacidae
Exons: 2
Source: RefSeq, a predicted model, not a curated record
GUAACCGCCUCUUGCAACCUAUAUAUUAGCAUUUAUAUUUUUCCACUUGGAUCCAAAGCACGGAUCACCCUGCCACUUCCCAUUAGCGUUAGCAGCACUCCGAAUUGCAGAAUCGCCAGAUGAACGUGCCGAGUCCUGUCAUUUCCCCCACAGGCUGUCUAGCGAUGAUAAUCCACUAAAGGAUUGUUUCAUCCAAGUGGCGGUGUCCGAGUCAAAUGCCGGCAACAGGCAGGGAAGCCCAAACCUGUUGAGGCAGACAUCUGCCGAGAUGGGAGGAAUAGGAGUGACGGCCCUUAAGAGGGCAAGGCGGGGGACAUACUUUGCGCCAGCAGAAUAAGUCCAUGGGCUGCACCCGUGAUGGGAGACGGAGACCAUGAUCAUGAUGGGUGGAAGUUUGCGGGCCGCGAUGCCGAUGCUGGCCAAAGCAGGCCUGGGGGUGUGCUGUUUGGAGGAGUGCCUUGUCAGAUUAGCCGUGCGGCUACUGUAUUUGAUGCUCAACCUGGAUGGACAGGCCUGCCAGGCAGAAACUGCUCAGGCAGAUGAUGCUAGGGAGGACAAAAAUUAUCCACUGCAAGACUAAGACAACAGAUGACACCCAGCAGGAACAGCAAGCCAAAUCUGCAGAAUCCACAAUGCAGCUGGCUUGCCUGAGGCUACCUGCCUCUUUGAAGUGGAAUAGACAUCACCGAUGAGCUGUCAAAUUAGAUCACCAGCCUGGAAAUGCUGAAAAAGAUUUAGUUCUUCCAACAGAGAAGGGAAAGUUUAAUAGAUGAAAAUCUUCCUAAAGGGGCCAAGGUAGUGUGGGAGGGGAAAGGGGAAUCUUUCAGAUGCAGCAACAAUGAAAAAUUACUUACCUCCCGCCUGCCUGCAGAGUGAGAGUUUGGAUGCACGAUGUUCUGCAGCAGCUACAGUGGCUACGAUCACUACCAGCAUGGAAAAUAAAGGCCACGCCUGCAGGAACAGCACAGAGCAGCAACAAGUAACCUUGCUACAAAAUCAAUCCCACCGCUCCCUCCCCCCCCAGAUCUCUGGUAUCUUUACAUAUCUCCCUAGAGCUGGGCUCUGAAGUACUAUCAAUCUAAUACUCGAGACACGCAGCGGUGGGAUACAAAGUCUCAGCCUGAAUCCGAAAGCUCAGGCAGCAGAGGCGCACGAUGGCAUCUCCCCUCAUGCAUCUUUUGCCAUAAAGCACAAAAGAAGUGCAGAAUACAAUUCAAUUUUGAUAAAUCUAGAACAAAAAUUAACAUUACCAAGCGAGUAAGCAUGUGCUCAGGUGUAUGGUGAAUAUGAAACGUGGCAUUUCCAUUACGGACAACAGCAGCGCGAUCCAAUUAUAGAUGCAAAGAAGAAAUUCCGCUCUUAGGGGGAAAAUAUUAAACAUAUUAAUCCAUUAAGCAGCUGCAUCAUUGCAAUUACACUUUGAAGUUAAAGACAAUGAAACACACCAAAGAUUAAAAGAAACGAUAGGAUUGAAAGCAAAAA